This 574-nucleotide ribosomal RNA is filed under the name Spizixos semitorques semitorques. RNAcentral's name for it is "partial small subunit ribosomal RNA". It matches the Rfam family "Bacterial large subunit ribosomal RNA", at positions 1817 to 2597 of the family's 2925-position model. The record is from RNAcentral. Lineage: Eukaryota; Metazoa; Chordata; Aves; Passeriformes; Pycnonotidae.
AGCCUUCAGCAAACCAAAAGACAAGUAUUGAAGGUGAUGCCUGCCCGGUGACCCAACGUUCAACGGCCGCGGUAUCCUAACCGUGCAAAGGUAGCGCAAUCAAUUGUCCCAUAAAUCGGGACCAGUAUGAAUGGCUAAACGAGGUCUUAACUGUCUCUUACAGGCAAUCAGUGAAAUUGAUCUCCCUGUGCAAAAGCAGGGAUAACCACAUAAGACGAGAAGACCCUGUGGAACUUCAAAAACAGCAACCACCCCCAAAUACAUACACACCCACCUCGGGCACACUUAACCCACGGGGAACUGGUCUGCAUUUUUUCGGUUGGGGCGACCUUGGAGCAAAACAAAACCUCCAAAUACUGGACCAUUCCUCUAGACUAAGAGCAACUUCUCAACGUGCUAAUAGCAACCAGACCCAAUAUAAUUGAUCAAUGGACCAAGCUACCCCAGGGAUAACAGCGCAAUCUCCUCCAAGAGUCCAUAUCGACGGGGAGGUUUACGACCUCGAUGUUGGAUCAGGACAUCCUAGUGGUGCAGCAGCUGCUAAGGGUUCGUUUGUUCAACGAUUAACAGUCCU